CUGGAGGUAUCAGAAGUGCGAAUGCUGACAUAAGUAACGAUAAAGCGGGUGAAAAGCCCGCUCGCCGGAAGACCAAGGGUUCCUGUCCAACGUUAAUCGGGGCAGGGUGAGUCGACCCCUAAGGCGAGGCCGAAAGGCGUAGUCGAUGGGAAACGGGUUAAUAUUCCCGUACUUGGUGUUACUGCGAAGGGGGGACGGAGAAGGCUAUGUUGGCCGGGCGACGGUUGUCCCGGUUUAAGCGUGUAGGUGUGUGUUCCAGGUAAAUCCGGUUCACUUUAACACUGAGGCGUGAUGACGAGGCACUACGGUGCUGAAGCAACAAAUGCCCUGCUUCCAGGAAAAGCCUCUAAGCAUCAGGUAACAUCAAAUCGUACCCCAAACCGACACAGGUGGUCAGGUAGAGAAUACCAAGGCGCUUGAGAGAACUCGGGUGAAGGAACUAGGCAAAAUGGUGCCGUAACUUCGGGAGAAGGCACGCUGACACGUAGGUGAAGUGAUUUACUCAUGGAGCUGAAGUCAGUCGAAGAUACCAGCUGGCUGCAACUGUUUAUUAAAAACACAGCACUGUGCAAACACGAAAGUGGACGUAUACGGUGUGACGCCUGCCCGGUGCCGGAAGGUUAAUUGAUGGGGUCAGCGCAAGCGAAGCUCCUGAUCGAAGCCCCGGUAAACGGCGGCCGUAACUAUAACGGUCCUAAGGUAGCGAAAUUCCUUGUCGGGUAAGUUCCGACCUGCACGAAUGGCGUAAUGAUGGCCAGGCUGUCUCCACCCGAGACUCAGUGAAAUUGAACUCGCUGUGAAGAUGCAGUGUACCCGCGGCAAGACGGAAAGACCCCGUGAACCUUUACUAUAGCUUGACACUGAACAUUGAGCCUUGAUGUGUAGGAUAGGUGGGAGGCUUUGAAGUGUGGACGCCAGUCUGCAUGGAGCCGACCUUGAAAUACCACCCUUUAAUGUUUGAUGUUCUAACGUGGACCCGUGAUCCGGGUUGCGGACAGUGUCUGGUGGGUAGUUUGACUGGGGCGGUCUCCUCCUAAAGAGUAACGGAGGAGCACGAAGGUUGGCUAAUCCUGGUCGGACAUCAGGAGGUUAGUGCAAUGGCAUAAGCCAGCUUGACUGCGAGCGUGACGGCGCGAGCAGGUGCGAAAGCAGGUCAUAGUGAUCCGGUGGUUCUGAAUGGAAGGGCCAUCGCUCAACGGAUAAAAGGUACUCCGGGGAUAACAGGCUGAUACCGCCCAAGAGUUCAUAUCGACGGCGGUGUUUGGCACCUCGAUGUCGGCUCAUCACAUCCUGGGGCUGAAGUAGGUCCCAAGGGUAUGGCUGUUCGCCAUUUAAAGUGGUACGCGAGCUGGGUUUAGAACGUCGUGAGACAGUUCGGUCCCUAUCUGCCGUGGGCGCUG
This 1400-nucleotide ribosomal RNA is filed under the name Salmonella enterica. RNAcentral describes it as "partial 23S ribosomal RNA". It matches the Rfam family "Bacterial large subunit ribosomal RNA", at positions 1273 to 2656 of the family's 2925-position model. Lineage: Bacteria; Pseudomonadati; Pseudomonadota; Gammaproteobacteria; Enterobacterales; Enterobacteriaceae. The record is from RNAcentral.